GUAGACCGAUGGACCAGACUUGCGGUUAUUUAAAGUACUAAUUCCAACCAUAAAUGCGUAAUAUGCAAUGGAACAACGAACGUCUUACGGACGCCAUUCAAUUUGAAUUGUUCAUUCGAAGUGAGUACACGUAUUAGUUAUUAUAACCUUUUCGCGUGUAUUUUUUGUUUGUUUUUAGGUUAACUGUAAUAUGUCAUUUUACUUUUUACUUAAUUAAUAAUUUAAUAUUAAAUGUUAUAGAUUAUGUUCAGUUUCAGAAACUGUACGGUGAUGGUCAACACCGACCAAAAAUGCCAAAAAAGUAUGAAUAUCAAAAAUAAUGAAUAUUUACAAUGUUACCUAUACACUUUUAUUUUUCUGGAUUCUAUAACUGUAGCACAAAGGGCCAUCUGGCCCGUGAUUGCACAAGUAAGAAGAAUCGGCGGCGGCCGAUACCGGGCCGUAGGGCACCACCGCGAUCACGAUCGCCCUAUCGGUGGUCCUGGACGUAAGUAGUAUUUAUUUAUUAUUAUUAAUUUUUUUUUUUUUUUUUUGUAUAGGUUUUUUACUGUGAGGUUGUGGGAAUGGUAGGGGAAAGCACGUGUGUGUAUUGUGGCAGAAUUUCUAGUGGGGCACCCGUAGGUUUCUGCCAUGCCUCGGGGUGGGGAUGGCGGCACUUAUUCUCCGGACACCGUGACUUGCCCGAAGAAAAAUGCCACCCGGUGACCGCGAAUCGAACCAGCAACCCGGCUGCGCCGCAACCGACGCCUUAGACCGCACGGCCACCUCGUCCCCCAACAUUAUUAAUUAAUAUUAAUUGUUAAAAAUAUGAUUUAAAUACAGGACAGAGAAGGAUGACCAAGUGGUAAGCAAUAAGUUUUUUUUUGUUAGCAUUUUUAUUAUUAUUUUUCUAAAUUUUAAAUUUGUUAUGUUUAUUUUUACAGAAUAAAUAAAAUAUAAUCAAUAUA
Aphis gossypii (cotton aphid) is the source of this 947-nucleotide long non-coding RNA. RefSeq lists it as uncharacterized. The transcript has 2 exons. Lineage: Eukaryota; Metazoa; Arthropoda; Insecta; Hemiptera; Aphididae. The record is from RefSeq and is a predicted model, not a curated record.